AGAGAUAUCACCAGCGGCUGAUGGACCAUCUCCUGAAGGACCCAUCGCCGAGCCUGACGGAGAAUCUGACGGUGAAGAAGAAGUAGAGCCUCCCGGAGCCAACGAUGGAGAAACGGUGGGUGAGUUUGAAACAGGGGAUGAAGAUUUAGGUGCCAUUGAUCCAGGUGGUGAAGUCAUCGGAGCAGAAGACGGAGGAAUAGUUGAAGAUGAUUUAGGUGCCAUUGGUGCCGGCGGUGAAGUCAUCGGAGCAGAGGAUGGGGAAACAGGGGACGUGGAUUUAGGUGGUGCCGGUGGUGAAGUCGUCGGAGAAACAGGGGAGCCGGAUUUAGGCGCCAUUGAUCCUGGAGGAGAAGUCGCCGGAGAGACAGCUGAUGAAGAUUUAGGCGAGUGAGCUCCUCCAGGCGGAGUAGUCGAUCCCGGAGGAGAAGUCGUCGGAGAAACAGGGGAGGAAGAUUUAGGCGAGUGGGCUCCUCCCGGCGGAGUCAUUGAUCCCGGCGUAGAGCUUCCCGGUGCAGCGGCGUGAGGAGACUGAGCCGUUGAUGGAAUCCUAGCAGAUAUGACAACGACAUUAAGCUUUUGACCCUUCUUACA
RNAcentral lists this long non-coding RNA (591 nucleotides) under Arabidopsis thaliana (thale cress). Its description in RNAcentral is "long non-coding RNA (ATHA_LNC000303)". The record is from RNAcentral. Lineage: Eukaryota; Viridiplantae; Streptophyta; Magnoliopsida; Brassicales; Brassicaceae.